RNAcentral lists this long non-coding RNA (303 nucleotides) under Pan troglodytes (chimpanzee). RNAcentral's name for it is "long non-coding RNA NONPTRT007723". The record is from RNAcentral. Lineage: Eukaryota; Metazoa; Chordata; Mammalia; Primates; Hominidae.
UUUACCUUAAAAGAAUUAUGGUAGCAAGAUGUGGAAUAAGAUAUUUUAUUAGUUUCCUUAUUCAUUUAAUAAAUCAUAAUUCUAUAAGAAGCAUGCCAGUGUGAGUUGAACGGACCCUGAUGUGCUACACUGCAGUGUGGCAUACGGCAAGGUUCGGCAAUUCUUAAACUGUUCCGCUGUGGAAGUUCAUUUCAAAACUCUUGUUUUAACAUUAGCUUGUCAAAGAAAUGAAGUAACAUUUGACUCUUUUGGACAAAAGAAUUCAACGCUCUCUCAAUGGUGGAUUCUUACGAAAACUUCUUU